RNAcentral lists this small nuclear RNA (164 nucleotides) under Echinops telfairi (small Madagascar hedgehog). Its description in RNAcentral is "U1 spliceosomal RNA (ENSETEG00000021405.1)". It matches the Rfam family "U1 spliceosomal RNA". From Rfam's summary of the family: U1 is a small nuclear RNA (snRNA) component of the spliceosome (involved in pre-mRNA splicing). The record is from RNAcentral. Lineage: Eukaryota; Metazoa; Chordata; Mammalia; Afrosoricida; Tenrecidae.
AUACUUACCUGGCAGGGGAGAUACCAUGAUCAAGAAGGUGGUUUUCCCAGGACGAGGCUUAUCCAUUGCACUCCGGAUGUGCUGACCCCUGCAAUUUCCUCAAAUGUGGGAAACUCGACUGCAUAAUUUGUGGUAGUGGGGGAUUGUGUUCACUCUCUCCCCUG